GGUUAAGCGACUAAGCGUACACGGUGGAUGCCCUGGCAGUCAGAGGCGAUGAAGGACGUGCUAAUCUGCGAAAAGCGUCGGUAAGGUGAUAUGAACCGUUAUAACCGGCGAUGUCCGAAUGGGGAAACCCAGUGCAAUUCGUUGCACUAUCGUUAACUGAAUACAUAGGUUAACGAGGCGAACCGGGGGAACUGAAACAUCUAAGUACCCCGAGGAAAAGAAAUCAACCGAGAUUCCCCCAGUAGCGGCGAGCGAACGGGGAGCAGCCCAGAGUCUGAAUCAGCUUGUGUGUUAGUGGAACGGUCUGGAAAGUCCGACGGUACAGGGUGAUAGUCCCGUACACCAAAAUGCACAGGUUGUGAACUCGAAGAGUAGGGCGGGACACGUGGUAUCCUGUCUGAAUAUGGGGGGACCAUCCUCCAAGGCUAAAUACUCCUGACUGACCGAUAGUGAACCAGUACCGUGAGGGAAAGGCGAAAAGAACCCCGGCGAGGGGAGUGAAAAAGAACCUGAAACCGUGUACGUACAAGCAGUGGGAGCACCUUCGGGUGUGACUGCGUACCUUUUGUAUAAUGGGUCAGCGACUUAUAUUCUGUAGCAAGGUUAACCGUAUAGGGGAGCCGCAGGGAAACCGAGUCUUAACUGGGCGUUAAGUUGCAGGGUAUAGACCCGAAACCCGGUGAUCUAGCCAUGGGCAGGUUGAAGGUUGGGUAACACUAACUGGAGGACCGAACCGACUAAUGUUGAAAAAUUAGCGGAUGACUUGUGGCUGGGGGUGAAAGGCCAAUCAAACCGGGAGAUAGCUGGUUCUCCCCGAAAGCUAUUUAGGUAGCGCCUCGUGAAUUCAUCUUCGGGGGUAGAGCACUGUUUCGGCUAGGGGGUCAUCCCGACUUACCAACCCGAUGCAAACUACGAAUACCGAAGAAUGUUAUCACGGGAGACACACGGCGGGUGCUAACGUCCGUCGUGAAGAGGGAAACAACCCAGACCGCCAGCUAAGGUCCCAAAGUCAUGGUUAAGUGGGAAACGAUGUGGGAAGGCACAGACAGCCAGGAUGUUGGCUUAGAAGCAGCCAUCAUUUAAAGAAAGCGUAAUAGCUCACUGGUCGAGUCGGCCUGCGCGGAAGAUGUAACGGGGCUAAACCAUGCACCGAAGCUGCGGCAGCGACACUAUGUGUUGUUGGGUAGGGGAGCGUUCUGUAAGCCUGCGAAGGUGANNNNNNNNNNNNNNNNNNNNNNNNNNNNNNNNNNNNNNNNNNNNNNNNNNNNNNNNNNNNNNNNNNNNNNNNNNNNNNNNNNNNNNNNNNNNNNNNNNUUGCUGGAGGUAUCAGAAGUGCGAAUGCUGACAUAAGUAACGAUAAAGCGGGUGAAAAGCCCGCUCGCCGGAAGACCAAGGGUUCCUGUCCAACGUUAAUCGGGGCAGGGUGAGUCGACCCCUAAGGCGAGGCCGAAAGGCGUAGUCGAUGGGAAACAGGUUAAUAUUCCUGUACUUGGUGUUACUGCGAAGGGGGGACGGAGAAGGCUAUGUUAGCCGGGCGACGGUUGUCCCGGUUUAAGCAUGUAGGCUGAUUGUCCAGGCAAAUCCGGAUAAUCAAGGCUGAGGUGUGAUGACGAGGCACUACGGUGCUGAAGUAACAAAUGCCCUGCUUCCAGGAAAAGCCUCUAAGCAUCAGGUAACAUCAAAUCGUACCCCAAACCGACACAGGUGGUCAGGUAGAGAAUACCAAGGCGCUUGAGAGAACUCGGGUGAAGGAACUAGGCAAAAUGGUGCCGUAACUUCGGGAGAAGGCACGCUGGUGUGUAGGUGAAGUCCCUGCGGAUGGAGCUGAGACCAGUCGAAGAUACCAGCUGGCUGCAACUGUUUAUUAAAAACACAGCACUGUGCAAACACGAAAGUGGACGUAUACGGUGUGACGCCUGCCCGGUGCCGGAAGGUUAAUUGAUGGGGUUAUCCGUAAGGAGAAGCUCUUGAUCGAAGCCCCGGUAAACGGCGGCCGUAACUAUAACGGUCCUAAGGUAGCGAAAUUCCUUGUCGGGUAAGUUCCGACCUGCACGAAUGGCGUAAUGAUGGCCAGGCUGUCUCCACCCGAGACUCAGUGAAAUUGAACUCGCUGUGAAGAUGCAGUGUACCCGCGGCAAGACGGAAAGACCCCGUGAACCUUUACUAUAGCUUGACACUGAACAUUGAGCCUUGAUGUGUAGGAUAGGUGGGAGGCUUUGAAGCGUGGACGCCAGUCUGCGUGGAGCCAACCUUGAAAUACCACCCUUUAAUGUUUGAUGUUCUAACGUUGGCCCCUUACCGGGGUUGCGGACAGUGUCUGGUGGGUAGUUUGACUGGGGCGGUCUCCUCCCAAAGCGUAACGGAGGAGCACGAAGGUUAGCUAAUCCUGGUCGGACAUCAGGAGGUUAGUGCAAUGGCAUAAGCUAGCUUGACUGCGAGCGUGACGGCGCGAGCAGGUGCGAAAGCAGGUCAUAGUGAUCCGGUGGUUCUGAAUGGAAGGGCCAUCGCUCAACGGAUAAAAGGUACUCCGGGGAUAACAGGCUGAUACCGCCCAAGAGUUCAUAUCGACGGCGGUGUUUGGCACCUCGAUGUCGGCUCAUCACAUCCUGGGGCUGAAGUAGGUCCCAAGGGUAUGGCUGUUCGCCAUUUAAAGUGGUACGCGAGCUGGGUUUAGAACGUCGUGAGACAGUUCGGUCCCUAUCUGCCGUGGGCGCUGGAGAAUUGAGGGGGGCUGCUCCUAGUACGAGAGGACCGGAGUGGACGCAUCACUGGUGUUCGGGUUGUCAUGCCAAUGGCACUGCCCGGUAGCUAAAUGCGGAAGAGAUAAGUGCUGAAAGCAUCUAAGCACGAAACUUGCCCCGAGAUGAGUUCUCCCUGAGACUUUAAGUCUCCUGAAGGAACGUU
Molecule: ribosomal RNA, 2904 nt
Filed under: Klebsiella pneumoniae
Lineage: Bacteria; Pseudomonadati; Pseudomonadota; Gammaproteobacteria; Enterobacterales; Enterobacteriaceae
Description: partial 23S ribosomal RNA
Rfam family: Bacterial large subunit ribosomal RNA
Source: RNAcentral